UAAUUUUGGUUUUAUAAUUGUAAUUAUUCAAAGUUAUUAGUGGUUGUGGGAACAUUGGAUAUUAUUAUAUAUUUUAGUUAACAAAUAUACAUGAAUGGAUCGUUUUUAUUUUUUUUAUUAAUAGACCCAUAAAUAGAUCUUUCCUCGCGUUUACAAACAUAUACUUUAUGAUAUUCAAUUGUGUGUUUCAAGAGUACCCAAAAUUUAUUUUUCAAAUUUUAUGUUUCAAAAACAGCCUUGUAUAAGGCCUUAA
This 253-nucleotide long non-coding RNA is filed under the name Capsella rubella. Its description in RNAcentral is "long non-coding RNA (CRUB_LNC004305)". Lineage: Eukaryota; Viridiplantae; Streptophyta; Magnoliopsida; Brassicales; Brassicaceae. The record is from RNAcentral.